This 440-nucleotide ribosomal RNA is filed under the name uncultured bacterium. Its description in RNAcentral is "partial 16S ribosomal RNA". It matches the Rfam family "Bacterial small subunit ribosomal RNA", at positions 338 to 795 of the family's 1533-position model. The record is from RNAcentral.
CCUACGGGUGGCAGCAGUAGGGAAUCUUCCACAAUGGGGGAAACCCUGAUGCAGCAACGCCGCGUGAGUGAAGAAGUAAUUCGUUAUGUAAAGCUCUAUCAGCAGGGAAGAACAUGACGGUACCUAAGUAAGAAGCCCCGGCUAACGACGUGCCAGAAGCCGCGGUAAUACGUAGGGGGCAAGCGUUAUCCGGAUUUACGGGGGGUAAAGUGAGCGUAGACGGCAGGGCAAGUCUGGCGUGAAAGGCGGGGGCUCAACCCCCGGACUGCUCUGGAAACUGGACGGCCGGAGUGCAGGAGAGGUAAGUGGAAUGCCGAGUGUAGCGGUGAAAUGCGUAGAUAUUAGGAGGAACACCAGUGGCGAAGGCGGCUUACUGGACUGUAACUGACGUUGAGGUUCGAAAGUGUGGGGAGCAAACAGGAUUAGAUACCCGAGUAGUC